UGGGGAAUCUUGCACAAUGGGGGAAACCCUGAUGCAGCGACGCCGCGUGAGCGAUGAAGCCCUUCGGGGUGUAAAGCUCUUUCGGCAGGGAAGAUUAUGACGGUACCUGCAGAAGCAGCUGCGGCUAACUACGUGCCAGCAGCCGCGGUAAUACGUAGGCAGCGAGCGUUGUUCGGAGUUACUGGGCGUAAAGGGUGUGUAGGCGGUUGUUUAAGUUUGGUGUGAAAUCUCCCGGCUCAACUGGGAGGGUGCGCCGAAUACUGAAUGACUAGAGUGCGGGAGAGGAAAGUGGAAUUCCUGGUGUAGCGGUGAAAUGCGUAGAUAUCAGGAGGAACACCGGUGGUGUAGACGGCUUUCUGGACCGUAACUGACGCUGAGACACGAAAGCGUGGGUAGCAAACA
RNAcentral lists this ribosomal RNA (402 nucleotides) under uncultured Candidatus Solibacter sp. Its description in RNAcentral is "bacterial SSU rRNA". It matches the Rfam family "Bacterial small subunit ribosomal RNA", at positions 355 to 774 of the family's 1533-position model. Lineage: Bacteria; Pseudomonadati; Acidobacteriota; Terriglobia; Bryobacterales; Solibacteraceae. The record is from RNAcentral.